ACCACAGCCCAUACCAAGCUUUGACUCUUCUCUUCCAAGACAUCCAUGGCUUUGAUGGUGAUGGUGAUCAGAUGCCUCUGUUUGUUGCUUCUGCAAAGACGUCGUCUUUGCUCCUCCUGAUAUCGAAUUCCAAUCAUAAAAAUAGCAAUGAGAAUAUUUCAAUACCGUACCUUCUUCUCUUCCCUUCCUCUCCAAACACACCGUCUCUUCUCCUCUGCUUCUUCUCUCCCUACACUUCAACCAUCAAACGACGCUCAAUUGCUUUCCCAAAUCUUGCUCCACCAUCACAACCCAUUCCACGCCAUGGAAUCGUCUCUUCAGCUCCACGGCUUCUCUCUUACCCCUCAUCUCCUCCACCAGACUCUCCUCCGUCUCUGCCACCACUCCAAAAUUGCCCUCUCCCUUUUCCAAUAUGCUCUCUCUAUCCCUUCUUCUUCUUCCAUCGUUACCUCCGUUACCUAUAAUAUCAUGAUCGACAUUCUCGCUAAGGUCCAUCAGUUUGACGUAUCUUGGCAGCUUAUUGUCCAAAUGGAGCAGACAAACGUCCAACCGACUUCCCAUACUUUCCUUAUACUCAUUCGCAGAUUGAUUGCUGCUGGUCUUACCCGUCAAGCUAUCCGUGCUUUUGAUGAUAUGGAAUCUUUCGUUGCGGAAACUGUGGAUGAGACCCAUUUCUGUUUCUUGCUUGAUACCCUGUGCAAGUAUGGCUACGUUAAAGUGGCCGUUGAGAUUUUUAAUAAAAGGAAGUCUACUUUUUGUCCUAGUGUGAGAAUGUAUACAGUUUUGAUUUGUGGUUGGUGCAAGAUUGGUAGAAUUGAUAUGGCAGAGAGAUUUCUGAGAGAGAUGGACGAGAGAGGGAUUGGGCCUAAUGUUGUUACCUACAAUGUGUUGUUAGAUGGUAUUUGCAGGAGGGCCAGAUUGCACCCUGAGGAUAGGUUUGAGAGGACAAUAAUGUCAGCUGAGAAAGUGUUUGAUGAAAUGCGCCAAAGAGGGAUUGAACCCGAUGUCACAAGUUUUUCUAUAUUGCUUCAUGUGUAUAGUAGAGCUCAUAAGCCUCAGCUAACACUUGAUAAGUUGAAGUUGAUGCAAGAGAAGGGGAUUUGCCUUACUGUUGCCACUUAUACUUCUGUGGUGAAGUGUCUUUGCUCCUGUGGCUGGGUUGAGGACGCAGAGGAGUUGCUUGAUGAGAUGGUCAGAAAUGGGAUUAGCCCUAACGCAGCAACUUACAAUUGUUUCUUUAAAGAAUAUAGAGGAAGAAAGGAUGCAGAAAGUGCCCUGAAGUUGUAUAGGAAAAUGAGGGAGGACAAUCUGUGUGAUCUGAGCACGCACACAUAUAAUAUACUGCUAGGCAUGUUUAUGAAGAUGAAUCGCAUGAAUAUUGUGAAUGAGAUAUGGAAUGAUUUAUGUGCAAGUGGUUCAGGGCCAGAUUUGGAUUCAUAUACAAUGCUUAUACAUGGGCUAUGCGAGAAACAGAAGUGGAAAGAAGCAUGUCAGUUUUUUGUGGAGAUGAUAGAGAGGGGGUUGCUUCCACAAAAGGUUACUUUUGAGACUCUUUACAGAGGGCUAAUACAGUCUGAUAUGUUGCGAACUUGGAGAAGGCUAAAGAAAAAGCUUGAUGAAGAGUCAAUAGCAUUUGGUUCAGAAUUUCAAAAUUACCACUUAAAGCCAUAUAGGCGAUAAUACAUCUUUGCUACAAUGUGACUAACCGAAUGAUUUUGCUGAGGAUUGUUGAUUGUUUUGAGGAGAUGAUUAGCGUAACUCGCCAAGACAUCAAUUGGGAUAAAGUGUGGUGCUGCUGGAGGCAAGUUUGAAAUUCAAAAGUGUUGUCUACUCAACUCCAGGGACACAUCCCCAAGGAGCAGUGCAUGGAAAUGUCAAAAUGAACUUGGCUAGUUUCCAAGUAAUGAUGUUAGUGUAUUUAUGCUUACAAUUAUUGGCAGAUAGACUGUAGAUGGUGUUCACUUCUUAAUGAGAAGUCCAUGCAUGCACACACAAAAAGAGAAAUACAGGGGAAAUGCGGAAGGUUUCAGGAAGCAACAUGAAAGUCAGUUGGAGGGAAGUGGGGUUUGUGGGGUAUCUACAAACACAUGCAGUUUUAGGAGAACCGGUGUUGUCAUUGUAUUUUGGAGGCAAAGCCAUUUGUAGGACAUUAUUGAAUCAAUUGGAAAGAAGAUUGAUCCUUCGUUCCAUUAUGAGUUGGCAUGAAGCUUUUUGGGUUCCACUGUACAUAUACCAACUUUCUGCAUUAAAUAAUUAUUGUACUUAAUUUUCGUGCCAAACUAGGAUCAAUGUAAUCUGACUAGGAAAUCGUGCAUAAUGCAUGAACUAGGAAUUCAUGUGUUGUAUUAUGAUGCCCAACAAAUAUGUAACAUGGUAGCGCUCUCAUUGUAAUUAUUGAAUUUGAUAAUUAAAGUUUAAAUUGAUUGCUUGAA
Manihot esculenta (cassava) is the source of this 2432-nucleotide RNA transcript. It is a transcript of the gene named pentatricopeptide repeat-containing protein At2g13420, mitochondrial, with no coding region annotated. The record is from RefSeq and is a predicted model, not a curated record. The transcript has 3 exons. NCBI's taxonomy places the organism in Eukaryota, Viridiplantae, Streptophyta, Magnoliopsida, Malpighiales, Euphorbiaceae.